This 166-nucleotide ribosomal RNA is filed under the name uncultured bacterium. RNAcentral describes it as "partial 16S ribosomal RNA". It matches the Rfam family "Bacterial small subunit ribosomal RNA", at positions 355 to 511 of the family's 1533-position model. The record is from RNAcentral.
UAGGGAAUCUUCCACAAUGGACGCAAGUCUGAUGGAGCAACGCCGCGUGAGUGAAGAAGGGUUUCGGCUCGUAAAGCUCUGUUGUUAAAGAAGAACGUGGGUAAGAGUAACUGUUUACCCAGUGACGGUUAUUUUAACCAGAAAGCCACGGCUAACUACGUGCCAG